UACAUAGGUGGCAAGCGUUACUCGGAAUUACUAGGCGUAAAGCGCGUGCAGGCGGAUGCUUAAGUCUGUAGUUUAAUCUCCCGGCUCAACCGGGAAAGGUCUGCGGAUACUGAGCAUCUGGAGUGGGACAGAGGAAGCUGGAAUUCCCGGUGUAGCGGUGAAAUGCGUAGAUAUCGGGAAGAACACCGGCGGCGAAGGCGGGCUUCUGGGUCCUUACUGACGCUGAGACGCGAAAGCGAGGGGAGCAAACAGGAUUAGAUACCCGGGUAGUCCUAGCCGUAAACGAUGGAAACUAGGUGUGGGAGGUAUCGACCCCUUCCGUGCCGACGCUAACGCAUUAAGUUUCCCGCCUGGGGAGUACGGCCGCAAGGUUAAA
This 376-nucleotide ribosomal RNA is filed under the name uncultured bacterium. RNAcentral's name for it is "bacterial SSU rRNA". It matches the Rfam family "Bacterial small subunit ribosomal RNA", at positions 524 to 898 of the family's 1533-position model. The record is from RNAcentral.